Molecule: long non-coding RNA, 582 nt
Filed under: Nicotiana benthamiana
Lineage: Eukaryota; Viridiplantae; Streptophyta; Magnoliopsida; Solanales; Solanaceae
Description: long non-coding RNA (NBEN_LNC006177)
Source: RNAcentral
UUGCUGAACUGCCAAGAUCCAAAUAUGUUUCAAACUUAAAUGUGGGUUGUUUAGGAGUUGAGCAUUUCAUUUCACUGUUUAACAUGAGAAUUAUGGCUGCCAUGGUAGGACGAUCCCUAGGACAUUCUUGAACACAGAGAAGACCGACAUGUAAGCAUCGCGUUAUCUCUUCUGGAGAAAAUGAGUUGAUUAAUGUCCCAUCCAUGAAGUCUAAUCCCCUUUCUUCACUCCACAAUUUCCAUGCCUGCAAUAGUUGUAUACACUGUCAUGAGGUUAAAUACAAAAAAAUGAGUGAAGUUGAUCAAAUAGUAAUGGAGCAUCAGAGAAAGAGUGUAUUAACAUAAUUGAGAAGGUUAAGAUUCUCUUCAACGUAAUGGAAACUUGAAUUUUUCUUGCCACUUAUGAUUUCUAAUAGCAAGACUCCGAAGCUGAAGACAUCAGAUUUCUCAGAGAAUACGCCCCUCAAUCGAGGACAUUCUUGAACACAGAGAAGACCAACACGUAAGCAUCGCGUUAUCUCUUCUGGAGAAAAUGAGUUGAUUAACGUCCCAUCCAUAAAGUCUAAUCCCCUUUGUUCACUCC